Molecule: non-coding RNA, 1107 nt
Organism: Nicotiana tabacum (common tobacco)
Lineage: Eukaryota; Viridiplantae; Streptophyta; Magnoliopsida; Solanales; Solanaceae
Source: RefSeq, a predicted model, not a curated record
AAAGUCUGAUAAAUCUUCAAAUUGUGGAUUUUAUUUUGAGAGAUCUUAUAGUUAGAUUUUUUUUUCGAUAUAUAGUAUGAGAAUUGGCUAGAAAAAGUUCAUUAUCCCUCAUACACUCUAAUGUUGAACUAUCGACAAAACAUUUGCUUACAUCAAGGUGGUGAACUUCAAUUUUGCCGCUCCGAAUUCAUCUCUAAGUUAUACCGUAAAUGGUAUGUAUCCUCCGAUAACAACAUUUCAGUUGUUUCAAAUUUGUGUUCAAAGGACAAGAGGAGGUGGUAUUCCUUAUGAUUUAGUUGACUAAUCAAUAAGUUUGUAUUUCAUUUAUAUAAAUUUAUGUAAAUUAUGCCCAUUUCCUCAUUUUUCCAUUUAUGUACUUGAAAAGAAAAACAUUAACAGUCAUGUCUUUUAAUCUUUUUAAUUAGCCUCUCUCUUCCUCUUCCAAGAGUCGUGCCUUUUAAUCUCCACAAUAGGUUUAUCCCUUUCAAAAUUGUAGUGGCGUUAGUCAUUUUAAGAAUAGGAAUAUUCUUAUAGUGUGCCUAUUUUCCUUUUUGCUGUUGUUAAUUCUUAUCAGAAGGUAUUGUUCAUUCGUUACUUUAUUGGACUAACUUUUUGUGAUUUUUAAUUUUUUUUAUUUUUCUUUCAGAUCCAUGUAAUGAUAUUCAACAUGUUCAAUUGGAAAAGACAAAUAAUUUUGACAUGUUUAAAAUCAUUGUUUUGGUCAUUCAGAGUAUGGCUAUUUUUAUAAUUUGCGUUUUUAUUUCCUUUUGUUUUGUUAAUCGAAAGGUAAUUGUGAUUAUUUUUCUUAUUUUUCUUUAUAUUUGCUUUUGGGUAAUUCUUUUGGGAUUUUAAUGCACUAAGCGAGAGGGUCGAGAUAAGCAAAUAGAGUAAGUGUUAUGUUCUUAUUCCCCUCUUUCUCCAUGUCUUUCCUUACUUUUUAGUCAACUAGGACAUUUAUGCUUAUUAGCAUGUUAGUUGUACUUCCUGUGCAUUUCUAUUGUAAAAUUUCUCUUCCUUGGUCGAAAAAAAAGUUUGAACUAAAUAUAGGAAUUAAUGCCUAUACCUUUAUUUUACUUAUCUACGUCAACUUUUUUACUUUUAUUUUUA